AAAGUGACGGUACCUGCAGAAGAAGCGCCGGCUAACUACGUGCCAGCAGCCGCGGUAAUACGUAGGGCGCAAGCGUUAUCCGGAAUUAUUGGGCGUAAAGAGCUCGUAGGCGGUUUGUCGCGUCUGCUGUGAAAGCCCGGGGCUCAACCCCGGGUCUGCAGUGGGUACGGGCAGACUAGAGUGAUGUAGGGGAGACUGGAAUUCCUGGUGUAGCGGUGAAAUGCGCAGAUAUCAGGAGGAACACCGAUGGCGAAGGCAGGUCUCUGGGCAUUAACUGACGCUGAGGAGCGAAAGCAUGGGGAGCGAACAGGAUUAGAUACCCUGGUAGUCCAUGCCGUAAACGUUGGGCACUAGGUGUGGGGGACAUUCCACGUUUUCCGCGCCGUAGCUAACGCAUUAAGUGCCCCGCCUGGGGAGUACGGCCGCAAGGCUAAAACUCAAAGGAAUUGACGGGGGCCCGCACAAGCGGCGGAGCAUGCGGAUUAAUUCGAUGCAACGCGAAGAACCUUACCAAGACUUGACAUGAACCGGAAAGGCCUGGAAACAGGUCCCCCACUUGUGGCCGGUUUACAGGUGGUGCAUGGUUGUCGUCAGCUCGUGUCGUGAGAUGUUGGGUUAAGUCCCGCAACGAGCGCAACCCUCGUUCUAUGUUGCCAGCGCGUAAUGGCGGGGACUCAUAGGAGACUGCCGGGGUCAACUCGGAGGAAGGUGGGGACGACGUCAAAUCAUCAUGCCCCUUAUGUCUUGGGCUUCACGCAUGCUACAAUGGCCGGUACAAAGGGUUGCGAUACUGUGAGGUGGAGCUAAUCCCAAAAAGCCGGUCUCAGUUCGGAUUGAGGUCUGCAACUCGACCUCAUGAAGUUGGAGUCGCUAGUAAUCGCAGAUCAGCAACGCUGCGGUGAAUACGUUCCCGGGCCUUGUA
Molecule: ribosomal RNA, 922 nt
Filed under: Arthrobacter sp. UYP12
Lineage: Bacteria; Bacillati; Actinomycetota; Actinomycetes; Micrococcales; Micrococcaceae
Description: bacterial SSU rRNA
Rfam family: Bacterial small subunit ribosomal RNA
Source: RNAcentral